RNAcentral lists this ribosomal RNA (497 nucleotides) under uncultured bacterium. RNAcentral's name for it is "partial 16S ribosomal RNA". It matches the Rfam family "Bacterial small subunit ribosomal RNA", at positions 28 to 507 of the family's 1533-position model. The record is from RNAcentral.
GAUGAACGCUGGCGGAGUGCCUAAUACAUGCAAGUCGAGCGAACGGACGAGAAGCUUGCUUCUCUGAUGUUAGCGGCGGACGGGUGAGUAACACGUGGAUAACCUACCUAUAAGACUGGGAUAACUUCGGGAAACCGUAGCUAAUACCGGAUAAUAUUUUGAACCGCAUGGUUCAAAAGUGAAAGACGGUCUUGCUGUCACUUAUAGAUGGAUCCGCGCUGCAUUAGCUAGUUGGUAAGGUAACGGCUUACCAAGGCAACGAUGCAUAGCCGACCUGAGAGGGUGAUCGGCCACACUGGAACUGAGACACGGUCCAGACUCCUACGGGAGGCAGCAGUAGGGAAUCUUCCGCAAUGGGCGAAAGCCUGACGGAGCAACGCCGCGUGAGUGAUGAAGGUCUUCGGAUCGUAAAACUCUGUUAUUAGGGAAGAACAUAUGUGUAAGUAACUGUGCACAUCUUGACGGUACCUAAUCAGAAAGCCACGGCUAACUACGUG